Molecule: ribosomal RNA, 210 nt
Filed under: Bacillus anthracis (anthrax bacterium)
Lineage: Bacteria; Bacillati; Bacillota; Bacilli; Caryophanales; Bacillaceae
Description: partial 23S ribosomal RNA
Rfam family: Bacterial large subunit ribosomal RNA
Source: RNAcentral
UGUCCUUAGUACGAGAGGACCGGGAUGGACGCACCGCUGGUGUACCAGUUGUUCUGCCAAGGGCAUAGCUGGGUAGCUAUGUGCGGAAGGGAUAAGUGCUGAAAGCAUCUAAGCAUGAAGCCCCCCUCAAGAUGAGAUUUCCCAUAGCGUAAGCUAGUAAGAUCCCUGAAAGAUGAUCAGGUUGAUAGGUUCGAGGUGGAAGCAUGGUGA